CGGCUUAAUACGUGGGAAGGGCAAAAACUACUUAAACAAGACGUGCUUUAACGAGCACGACUAAAAUCUCUGAUCACAAGCUAUUUUGGUGCAUUGCCAUCGACCAGGAUUAGACGCGCGUGCAGCGAAGCGCUUUUGCCCAUCUGGUACAAUAAUGAUAGGGCCUCGUGAAUAGGGUCACCGUCGCACGUUCGCCACAGCCACAAGCACCUGGCUGACCGGCCACACAACCACUAGGCCGAAAAGGCUAAACCUUACUUGAUACAUCUAUAUUGGACAUUGUUGAUAACCCUAGCCUAAAGCUGAGUUUUGCAUUGAGUUUGACAUUAGCUGAGCAAUUUUUUUUUGCGCUAAACCCUAACCCUAUACAAUAUUAUUCCGACAAUUCGAAGAUCAACAUAUACUAGCACUUAAACCAUAUUGACCCACAUUGACCAUUUCCAAAACAUGCUAUAAGGAAGAGAGGAAGGUUAUAAGCCCUUCUCCGAAGUAGUACGUAUAGCACACACGUAACGCACGGACUGUAAAAGAGACGGGGUGUCGGGGUAAAAAAAAAAACUGAACCGUUCGGACGGAGUAAUAGGACUGGAGCAGGCAAGCCGCGUGGGGGAAAAAGAAGGAGAGACGGCCACUUGCCUGCACGUAGAAAGUCCGGCCAUGCUAAAACAAGACAAAGGUAAAUGAAUUUCCUUUCCCUGACUUUUUCCCCGG
RNAcentral lists this long non-coding RNA (711 nucleotides) under Brachypodium distachyon (stiff brome). RNAcentral's name for it is "long non-coding RNA (BDIS_LNC003772)". The record is from RNAcentral. Lineage: Eukaryota; Viridiplantae; Streptophyta; Magnoliopsida; Poales; Poaceae.